CGUAACAAGGUAGCCGUAGGUGAACCUUCGGCUGGAUCAUUA
This 42-nucleotide ribosomal RNA is filed under the name Bursaphelenchus mucronatus. Its description in RNAcentral is "partial 18S ribosomal RNA". Lineage: Eukaryota; Metazoa; Nematoda; Chromadorea; Rhabditida; Aphelenchoididae. RNAcentral also lists the same sequence under 26 other names. The record is from RNAcentral.